This 253-nucleotide ribosomal RNA is filed under the name uncultured bacterium. RNAcentral's name for it is "partial 16S ribosomal RNA". It matches the Rfam family "Bacterial small subunit ribosomal RNA", at positions 524 to 776 of the family's 1533-position model. The record is from RNAcentral.
UACGGAGGGUGCAAGCGUUAUCCGGAUUCACUGGGUUUAAAGGGUGCGUAGGUGGUUCUGUAAGUCAGUGGUGAAAUCUCCGGGCUUAACCCGGAAACUGCCAUUGAUACUAUAGGUCUUGAAUUUUCUGGAGGUCAGCGGAAUAUGUCAUGUAGCGGUGAAAUGCUUAGAUAUGACAUAGAACACCAAUUGCGAAGGCAGCUGGCUACAGGAACAUUGACACUGAGGCACGAAAGCGUGGGGAUCAAACAGG